AACGCUGGCGGCGCGCCUAAUACAUGCAAGUCGAACGGAAACCUUCGGGUUUUAGUGGCGAACGGGUGAGUAACACGUAAGCAACCUGCCUUUAAGACGUGGAUAACAAUUGGAAACAGUUGCUAAGACUGGAUAGGAAAUUAAGAGGCAUCUUUUAAUUUUUAAAAGACCUUUUUCGAAAGGUAUGCUUAAAGAGGGGCUUGCGCCACAUUAGUUAGUUGGUAAGGUAAAGGCUUACCAAGACGAUGAUGUGUAGCUGGACUGAGAGGUCGAACAGCCACAUUGGGACUGAGACACGGCCCAAACUCCUACGGGAGGCAGCAGUAAGGAAUUUUUGGCAAUGGAGGAAACUCUGACCGAGCGACGCCGCGUGAACAAUGAAGUACUUCGGUAUGUAAAGUUCUUUUAUUGAAAAAGAAAAAAUAGUGGAAAAACUAUCUUGACAUUAUUCAAUGAAUAAGCCCCGGCUAAUUAUGUGCCAGCAGCCGCGGUAAUACAUAAGGGGCGAGCGUUAUCCGGAAUUAUUGGGCGUAAAGGGUGCGUAGGCGGUUUGAUAAGUCUAUAGUUUAAAUGCAGUGCUUAACGCUGUAGCGCUAUAGAAACUGUCUGACUAGAGUUAGAUAGAGGCAAGCGGAAUUCCAUGUGUAGCGGUAAAAUGCGUAAAUAUAUGGAGGAACACCAGAGGCGUAGGCGGCUUGCUGGGUCUUAACUGACGCUGAGGCACGAAAGCGUGGGGAGCAAACAGGAUUAGAUACCCUGGUAGUCCAUGCCGUAAACGAUGAGUACUAAGUGUCGGGUUUCGGCUCGGUACUGAAGUUAACACAUUAAGUACUCCGCCUGAGUAGUACGUACGCAAGUAUGAAACUUAAAGGAAUUGACGGGACCCCGCACAAGCGGUGGAUCAUGUUGUUUAAUUCGAAGAUACACGAAAAACCUUACCAGGUCUUGACAUAAUUUUGCGACAUUAUAGAAAUAUAAUGAAGGUUAUCAGAAUUACAGGUGGUGCAUGGUUGUCGUCAGCUCGUGUCGUGAGAUGUUAGGUUAAGUCCUAAAACGAGCGCAACCCUUGUCGUUAGUUGCGACCACGUAAUGGUGAGCACUUUAGCGAGACUGCCAAUGAAAAAUUGGAGGAAGGUGAGGAUUACGUCAAAUCAUCAUGCCCCUUAUGAUCUGGGCUACAAACGUGAUACAAUGGCUGUUACAAAGAGUAGCUACAACGUGAGUUUUUAGCCAAUCUCAAAAAAACAGUCUCAGUUCGGAUUGAAGUCUGCAACUCGACUUCAUGAAGUUGGAAUCGCUAGUAAUCGCGAAUCAGCAUGUCGCGGUGAAUACGUUCUCGGGGUUUGUACACACCGCCCGUCAAACCACGAAAGUUGAUAAUACCCGAAAGCGGUCGCCUACUUCGUCAGAAGAGGGAGCCGUCUAAGGUAG
Molecule: ribosomal RNA, 1431 nt
Filed under: 'Helminthotheca echioides' yellows phytoplasma
Lineage: Bacteria; Bacillati; Mycoplasmatota; Mollicutes; Acholeplasmatales; Acholeplasmataceae
Description: 16S ribosomal RNA
Rfam family: Bacterial small subunit ribosomal RNA
Source: RNAcentral